GGAGAUAGCUGGUUCUCUCCGAAAUAGCUUUAGGGCUAGCCUCAAGUGAUGAUUAUUGGAGGUAGAGCACUGUUUGGACGAGGGGCCCCUCUCGGGUUACCGAAUUCAGACAAACUCCGAAUGCCAAUUAAUUUAACUUGGGAGUCAGAACAUGGGUGAUAAGGUCCGUGUUCGAAAGGGAAACAGCCCAGACCACCAGCUAAGGUCCCAAAAUAUAUGUUAAGUGGAAAAGGAUGUGGCGUUGCCCAGACAACUAGGAUGUUGGCUUAGAAGCAGCCAUCAUUUAAAGAGUGCGUAAUAGCUCACUAGUCGAGUGACACUGCGCCGAAAAUGUACCGGGGCUAAACAUAUUACCGAAGCUGUGGAUUGUCCUUUGGACAAUGGUAGGAGAGCGUUCUAAGGGCGUUGAAGCAUGAUCGUAAGGACAUGUGGAGCGCUUAGAAGUGAGAAUGCCGGUGUGAGUAGCGAAAGACGGGUGAGAAUCCCGUCCACCGAUUGACUAAGGUUUCCAGAGGAAGGCUCGUCCGCUCUGGGUUAGUCGGGUCCUAAGCUGAGGCCGACAGGCGUAGGCGAUGGAUAACAGGUUGAUAUUCCUGUACCACCUAUAAUCGUUUUAAUCGAUGGGGGGACGCAGUAGGAUAGGCGAAGCGUGCGAUUGGAUUGCACGUCUAAGCAGUAAGGCUGAGUAUUAGGCAAAUCCGGUACUCGUUAAGGCUGAGCUGUGAUGGGGAGAAGACAUUGAGUCUUCGAGUCGUUGAUUUCACACUGCCGAGAAAAGCCUCUAGAUAGAAAAUAGGUGCCCGUACCGCAAACCGACACAGGUAGUCAAGAUGAGAAUUCUAAGGUGAGCGAGCGAACUCUCGUUAAGGAACUCGGCAAAAUGACCCCGUAACUUCGGGAGAAGGGGUGCUCUUUAGGGUUAACGCCCAGAAGAGCCGCAGUGAAUAGGCCCAAGCGACUGUUUAUCAAAAACACAGGUCUCUGCUAAACCGUAAGGUGAUGUAUAGGGGCUGACGCCUGCCCGGUGCUGGAAGGUUAAGAGGAGUGGUUAGCUUCUGCGAAGCUACGAAUCGAAGCCCCAGUAAACGGCGGCCGUAACUAUAACGGUCCUAAGGUAGCGAAAUUCCUUGUCGGGUAAGUUCCGACCCGCACGAAAGGCGUAACGAUUUGGGCACUGUCUCAACGAGAGACUCGGUGAAAUCAUAGUACCUGUGAAGAUGCAGGUUACCCGCGACAGGACGGAAAGACCCCGUGGAGCUUUACUGUAGCCUGAUAUUGAAAUUCGGCACAGCUUGUACAGGAUAGGUAGGAGCCUUUGAAACGUGAGCGCUAGCUUACGUGGAGGCGCUGGUGGGAUACUACCCUAGCUGUGUUGGCUUUCUAACCCGCACCACUUAUCGUGGUGGGAGACAGUGUCA
RNAcentral lists this ribosomal RNA (1418 nucleotides) under Staphylococcus aureus M1425. Its description in RNAcentral is "bacterial LSU rRNA". It matches the Rfam family "Bacterial large subunit ribosomal RNA", at positions 841 to 2259 of the family's 2925-position model. The record is from RNAcentral. Lineage: Bacteria; Bacillati; Bacillota; Bacilli; Caryophanales; Staphylococcaceae.